AUUGAACGCUGGCGGCAGGCCUAACACAUGCAAGUCGAACGGCAGCGGGGGAAGCUUGCUUCCCCGCCGGCGAGUGGCGGACGGGUGAGUAAUGCCCUGGGGAGCUGCCCAAUCGAGGGGGGAUACCAGUUGGAAACGACUGCUAAUACCGCAUACGCCUCGAGGGGGAAAGAUGGGGAUCUUCGGACCUAUCGCGAUUGGAUGCACCCAGGUGGGAUUAGCUAGUUGGUGAGGUAACGGCUCACCAAGGCGACGAUCUCUAGCUGGUCUGAGAGGAUGACCAGCCACACUGGAACUGAGACACGGUCCAGACUCCUACGGGAGGCAGCAGUGGGGAAUAUUGCACAAAUGGGGGGAAACCCUGAUGCAGCCAUGCCGCGUGUGUG
Molecule: ribosomal RNA, 386 nt
Filed under: uncultured bacterium
Lineage: Bacteria
Description: bacterial SSU rRNA
Rfam family: Bacterial small subunit ribosomal RNA
Source: RNAcentral